GCAGACGACCCUCAGGUGGUGGCUCCGGCUUGUCCUGAGAUAAGAGGAGGACCAUUGUCAGCAUAAAAUAACAAGAUAAAUACAUUAUGAUAAAUGAAGAGAAUACAAAAUUGUAACAUCUAUCAAGAAUCAGAAUAUAAAUAGAGAAUAGAUGUAGGACAAUAUUUUAACUAAACUUGGAGGUCCACCAUCAUGUAGAUCUGUUCUAAUCUGCCACAAAGGAAUAGUGGCAUCAUGAGAAGAAAAGGAUAAAAUUGAAAAAAACAAGCAAAUCAUGUAUACCGUUUAAACAAAGAAAAGAAAAGGCCCCAGAAGAAAAAGGGGAAAAGACACAUGAUUUUUUUUUCUCCAAUGGCACUUUUACAAUGAACCAAACAAAAUCAGUAAAAAAAGAACAGAAAAUUUUUAGGGAAAAAUUUUAUACAAAUAAAUAAAAAUGGACACUGGCUUUGGAACACAUUUUAAACUCCUUUUGAUCAAUUGCUGUGGUUUUUGCCAUUCUCCAUGCAAAAACCCCAAUCCACUAGAAUAGAAAUAUAAUUACAUUCGUUUCAUUUUUUUUUUUUUGUCAGACAAAUGCUGUCUGAAAACGACUUUAGAAGUACUGUUCUUUUUUGUAGAGAAAUUAAUUAAGAUUUUUCCCCUUUCAAAGGACAAUGACUUUACAUAAAGCAGAAAAGGAAAUACCCAAAUACCCAAAAUCUUGAUAAUUUGGCAUCAAAAACCACAUUUCCCCCAUAAAAGGAAAGACAGACCAAUAAAACAAAAUAAAGACAUGUCAGAUACAUGCAUUGAAGUUUACAUGGCAUCUACACCUCUUAAAGUAAUAGAUCAAACAAAACAUGCUUAUAGAAACAUUGUGAUUCGGGCCACAGUCCCAAAACUGAGUGAAUAGGCCAUGCUGUAUUUAAAAAUAUAGGUUCUACCAAGUAUUCAGACCAAUCCAUUGGUUAUCUGCCAGAGGCAUAUGGACAAAUUAGUGCAUCAUAUAAGCUUUAAAGCAGGCGAAGUUAGAAUCCAGACAAAUUAGACAACCAUAUUGCAAGCUCUAGGUUACCAAGCUUUAAUAUCAACUAAUAAGUUUGCAAUGUAGCAUUAAGAAACAAUGCAAACACCGCUACCACCAAAGCAUUAUGUGGUGACUAUGAUAUCUGCUCCACAUCAAAUUUUCACUACAACCUAUUAAAAUACAUGAACCUAGUAAGCAAAAGGUAGGAUGCCCAGCUCCAACCCACCAAAUUUCAGUUUUUGAUUCAACCCAUACAAAACUUAUCUAGAUCAAAACAAUCACAAAAUUGAACUGUUAUACAGAACUACUUCCUUGUCCUAAUUUUAAAUAUGGAAUAUAACAGAGAUAGUCUGGUAAGGAAAACAUAAAUAAAAAGGAGGACAAGACAAUCCUAAGCAACAUAUUACAGCAACAGAUCAACUAAAUAGUUAGAACUUAAAAGUUUUUUCUUUAAAAAGAAUAUGCAAUUUUAACUGAAAUGAAAGAAUGGUGAUAAUUCACCUACCUCUCUCCCUGGGUGGAAAGGAAUUUCAGGCCCUCCAGUGACCUCAACAGCAACAACUCCAGCCAACUAAGUAACAUAGAAAAUGAAAAAGAAAAGUCAAUGUCUGAAAGCAUAAAAGAAAAAUUAUUGAAUAGAGUGGGAUAGGUGUGAUAAUGGCCCAAAAGGGAUAGCAAUUUUGAUAAUUCUGGUUAAGGACAAGACAAAGGGGGGAAAAUUUCCACAAAGGCCAUUUAGCAAAAUAAUAAACCAAAAUUUCAUAACUAUCCUUUAGUUAAAGUGGACAAAAUUUCAUAAAUCAAAAUAAUAAACCAAAACAAUUCUAAAAAAAUAUUUUCAAAACAACAUCUAAUAUGUUUUCUAAAACAUUUCCAUUUCUACUUUUAUCUAAAUUUAUAAAUAAAUAAAAAAGUUUCCCUAAUAAUGCAAUAAGAAUGAUUAUUUUUCAUAAUUUUUCUCUAAUUUCAAAUUUAUAAAUCAUGCUUUUUUAUUAUUAAGAUUGUGAAGAAAAAAUGUCUAAUUUUUUAUUUGGGUUGUUUAAAAGAAUUAGAAACACUAAUUCAUCAUUUUUUGUUUUUUACAAUUGAAUAAUUUUAAAAAAUUAUAUAAUGUUCAUAAUUUUUAGUUUUUUUCGUUUGCAUUGCAUGUUUAUCUUCUUUUUUUUUUUCUUUCAUAGCAUACAAUGAUGGAUGUUAAUACAUUGUAAUUUUAUAUUGGAUGUCGAUGAGGUAUAACUCCAAUACUAUUAUUUCUAUUAUAAAAAUAUAUUAUAAUUACAAUAUAAAUAUACUAAAAUUAUAAUACAUUACAACAAAACCUAAUUUAGAAAAUUUUAAACUUUUAUGUUCGCUAACAUAUUUAUAUUAUGAACCAUCUUUUAAAUCAAAUAAAGUAUUAAUUUGAAUUCAUGAAGCAUUUUUUUAAUUAUAAAAAUAAUUAAACAAUUUCAAUGCAUAAAAGUAAUGAUGUCAAUAGGGUAUAAAAAGGUAUUUCUAAAAUUAUUAAUUUUGUCAUAAAAAAAAAGGUGGGACAUAAAUUCAUUACACUUACAUUACAAAUGCACUACUAUAUUACAAUACAUUACAAUACAACCUAAUUAUUAAAAUCUUUAAUUUUUUUCACGUGCCAUACCAUUAGCCGAAUAUUUGUGUGUUAUAUUGAAUUGAGAUGCUCAUGAAAAAUAAAGCACACAUAAAAAUUAACUGUUUAUUCAAUUAGGGCAACAAAGCUUUUACGUAGCUAUAAGCAAUUGCUAAAGUUUGUUGUUACAUGCAUAAAGUAGCAUAUUAACCCUUGGGAUUGGUUUUUAUUUAAUAAAAAUCUCAAUUCUUUUUUUAAAUGAGAAAAGUAUAUUUCAAAUAAUCUAAUUUCUAAUAAUGAAAUUAAAAAAAUUAUAUAAAUUUGUAUUAGUUAUCCUUUGACUUUCCUAUUCUUUUCAACCCACAUAAGCUUAAGCAUGGUGAAUUGUAGGGUAAAGUUUAACUCUAAGGAAGAAAGGAGUAAUGGGAAAAAAAUUGACAAAAGGUAAAGUUAAUGUCUCAGAAGUUAGUUCCUCGAGGGAAUUUGAUAAAUAAGUGGCUGCCAUUAUCCCAUCUGACCGACCUAUUUGGUUGAAUCCUAAACAUUAAUAUGCAAAACAAAUUCUCACGUCCACUGACGUUUGAAGUGAACAAGCAAACCAAGAGGCCAUCAGAUUUACAGCAGCUUUUAAGAGCCAAGCAAAAAAUUAGCGUCCGUUUACAAAUAUAUCCAUAUAUAUAUAUAUUUUCUCUUUCAUUUUCCUAAACGUGUUUCUUGCAAACGAAAAGGAUCAAAACGAAAAUUAACAAAGGGAAAAGAGGAAGCUAGGAAAAAAAUUGCAAGUAUUUAUAAUACCUGAUAGAAGUCAGCGUACGAAAUGAUAGGGAAUUGUUCCUUGAUAGGUUCCAAGAGCCUAACGGCUAUAUCAAGACCGUUGUUGGCUCCGUGAGCUAGCUCUUCUGGCUUCUUCAUCGUUCCGAAAGGACCUCCGGUUCUCGUCUUCACAUCGAAGGUACCGGCAGAGUGCCAUCUGAAACCACAUGAUUACACGGUCAACAUCCUGGUAAAAUAAAUAGAUAAACGAACAAAUAACUGGGAAAAACAACUAUUGAGAUCUUAGAGAGAAAGGACGUACGCGAUUCGGAGCAUAAUCGGAGCACAGUUCUUCUCAGCGAUGAGGCCUCUGAGCUUCUUCUUGGCUUUUUCUACAGCCUUUUUGUAUUCCUCGCUCACAGUAGGAUAGCUCUUCCCCAUGGCUAUGA
Molecule: long non-coding RNA, 3793 nt
Filed under: Vitis vinifera (wine grape)
Lineage: Eukaryota; Viridiplantae; Streptophyta; Magnoliopsida; Vitales; Vitaceae
Description: long non-coding RNA (VVIN_LNC001711)
Source: RNAcentral